CGCACAGUAAACGAUGUGCACUAGGCGGCGGGGGCAACCUCGCUGCCGCAGCCAACGCAUUAAGUGCACCGCCUGGGGAGUAUGCCCGCAAGGGUGAAACUCAAAGGAAUUGACGGGGGCCCGCACAAGCGGUGGAGCAUGUGGUUUAAUUCGAUGAUACGCGAGAAACCUUACCAGGGCUUGACAUGGCCCGGAAGUGCGCUGCAAGGCGCACGCCCCUCGGGGCCGGGUCACAGGUGC
This 240-nucleotide ribosomal RNA is filed under the name uncultured Spirochaetaceae bacterium. RNAcentral describes it as "partial 16S ribosomal RNA". It matches the Rfam family "Bacterial small subunit ribosomal RNA", at positions 796 to 1041 of the family's 1533-position model. The record is from RNAcentral. Lineage: Bacteria; Pseudomonadati; Spirochaetota; Spirochaetia; Spirochaetales; Spirochaetaceae.